This 73-nucleotide transfer RNA is filed under the name Felis catus (domestic cat). It matches the Rfam family "tRNA". From Rfam's summary of the family: Transfer RNA (tRNA) molecules are approximately 80 nucleotides in length. Their secondary structure includes four short double-helical elements and three loops (D, anti-codon, and T loops). Lineage: Eukaryota; Metazoa; Chordata; Mammalia; Carnivora; Felidae. The record is from Rfam by way of RNAcentral.
ACCUGACUGGCUCAAUCAGUAGAGCGUGCAACUCUUGAUCCUGGGUUUGUGAGUUCGAGCCCCAUGUUGGGUG